GGGAUUUAUGUUAGGAAAUGUGUUAUACAACACAUUCAACUACCACACAAAAUCCUGGCAUAGAGUGGAUUUGUGCUUUUAAAUAUGUUUGCUUGUUGUGGUCAGCCCAAGGGAGAAGUAAAUAGUUACUGAAUAAAAUCAUCCCUAUGAAAUGUAAUAAAGGUUAAAUACAUCCCCAGAUAGUAGUAAAGUGCUAAGUUAAAAGUUAAUGCCUUGCUAUAUUACACUCCUCAGCAGGACAAGAGCAGUAUUAUGACAAAACAAAUCACAGCAAGAUGGAAUACUGUUUGCAUUAGAAACAAUUUCCUUUUCCAGACCUAUAUUCUUCAAUGCUUUGCAUAGAAUAAGAAGUGGCAUAAUUGCUUAAAUGUUAUCUUUCACAUACAGAUUUUUCUGAAGGUCAUAUGAUGAUUAAGCCAAAUAUACCCAUUCUUUCUUGCACCUUUAGCCCUACUACCAAUGAAAAUUAUCAAGAACACACAUUCCACUGCAGAUGCUCAGAGCUCAGAAAAUUUACUCAAAUAGGACAGCAUGUUUGCUAGCCUUUUGUGCUCUUUCAACCUCUGCUUUUCAUCUGGAACAUAAUUCUGAGCUACAUAGGUGUCAAUAUUCACUGCAAUCAAAAUCAGAAAAAGACGUGACUGACACAACUCAAUACAAGGUGGAUGAAGGCAAAGAUGACAGUGAUGGGAAUCUGAGCUUUUGUAGCCUCUGUGGGUUUAUCAAUUUUGCAUUUUCUGGGAUAAGAAAAACUGAGAGACUAAUAACAGGACACUUGUUUAGAAACACCUUUGCUUCCUAAGAAUUGUUUGAGUAAAAACCUCAAAAAAAUGAAUCACAUUCAUGUUAUAGUUGAUCUUACUGUGUAUUAUGAAUCUGUAAAAAAAUAAAGCAAGGAUGCUCUAGAUAAGUCA
RNAcentral lists this long non-coding RNA (914 nucleotides) under Coturnix japonica (Japanese quail). Its description in RNAcentral is "lncRNA (ENSCJPG00005019595.1)". Lineage: Eukaryota; Metazoa; Chordata; Aves; Galliformes; Phasianidae. The record is from RNAcentral.